RNAcentral lists this microRNA precursor (93 nucleotides) under Dasypus novemcinctus (nine-banded armadillo). RNAcentral describes it as "miRNA (ENSDNOG00000038189.1)". Lineage: Eukaryota; Metazoa; Chordata; Mammalia; Cingulata; Dasypodidae. The record is from RNAcentral.
ACCACUUGGGGAUCUUAUUAAAGUGCAGAUUCUGAUUCAGUAGGUCUAGAAUGGGGCUUGAGAUUCUGCAUUUCUAACAAGUGCUCAGGUGAU